Molecule: ribosomal RNA, 340 nt
Filed under: Bacillus sp. (in: firmicutes)
Lineage: Bacteria; Bacillati; Bacillota; Bacilli; Caryophanales; Bacillaceae
Description: bacterial SSU rRNA
Rfam family: Bacterial small subunit ribosomal RNA
Source: RNAcentral
CAAACCGGAGGAAGGUGGGGAUGACGUCAAAUCAUCAUGCCCCUUAUGACCUGGGCUACACACGUGCUACAAUGGACAGAACAAAGGGCAGCGAAACCGCGAGGUUAAGCCAAUCCCACAAAUCUGUUCUCAGUUCGGAUCGCAGUCUGCAACUCGACUGCGUGAAGCUGGAAUCGCUAGUAAUCGCGGAUCAGCAUGCCGCGGUGAAUACGUUCCCGGGCCUUGUACACACCGCCCGUCACACCACGAGAGUUUGUAACACCCGAAGUCGGUGAGGUAACCUUUUAGGAGCCAGCCGCCGAAGGUGGGACAGAUGAUUGGGGUGAAGUCGUAACAAAGG